RNAcentral lists this ribosomal RNA (497 nucleotides) under uncultured bacterium. RNAcentral describes it as "partial 16S ribosomal RNA". It matches the Rfam family "Bacterial small subunit ribosomal RNA", at positions 28 to 507 of the family's 1533-position model. The record is from RNAcentral.
GAUGAACGCUGGCGGCGUGCCUAAUACAUGCAAGUCGAGCGAACAGACGAGGAGCUUGCUCCUUUGACGUUAGCGGCGGACGGGUGAGUAACACGUAGGUAACCUACCUAUAAGACUGGGAUAACUUCGGGAAACCGGAGCUAAUACCGGAUAAUAUUUCGAACCGCAUGGUUCGAUAGUGAAAGAUGACUUUGCUAUCACUUAUAGAUGGACCUGCGCCGUAUUAGCUAGUUGGUAAGGUAACGGCUUACCAAGGCAACGAUACGUAGCCGACCUGAGAGGGUGAUCGGCCACACUGGAACUGAGACACGGUCCAGACUCCUACGGGAGGCAGCAGUAGGGAAUCUUCCGCAAUGGGCGAAAGCCUGACGGAGCAACGCCGCGUGAGUGAUGAAGGUCUUCGGAUCGUAAAACUCUGUUAUUAGGGAAGAACAAACGUGUAAGUAACUGUGCACGUCUUGACGGUACCUAAUCAGAAAGCCACGGCUAACUACGUG